CUGUGGGGAGGGUUCCUUGCUGGAGACAGUGGUCAGCUGGUCGCUGGGUCGUGACUGCCCUAGGUAAGAUCGCCGUCCCGGGCCCUGGGUCCUCUGGGCUCUGCAUGCAUCGAUGCCCUUCCGGGAGGUAGGCUGCAGCGGCAGGAGCCAAGUGGGUCUCGGAGACCGCCGGGGCGCGCAGGGCCCGGGGCGCGGAACUCCGGGAACCGCAAUUGCCAAGCACUUGUGUUUCGGGACCCCGAGGGCUCCUCGCGCCACCUCCAGCACCCGAAGAGAGUGGGUAGGUGGUUCAGGGCGUCUGCUCAGGCUCGGGGGAAAAGGUGGGGCCGGAAGGAGACGGGCUGAAUUACUCCCGCCGCCUGCAGGCCCAGGGUGACCCUCAGGCUAUACUGGGCCCGGGUGCGCCGACCUGUGGCAGUAACUCCCAGGAGUUCGCUGCCGCCAGUCCCUGGGUCUUGACAGUUGUCGGCUGGUGGCAUCUGCUCCGAACAGCCUCCCUGCCCUCCGCGGACCUGGGUCCCGCCCAGGAAUCCUAUCCGAGGCUCCGAGGCCUGUCCCAUGGGAGGGUGGAUAUUUCUUUCCACUACGCGCUCAGAGGCUCUAGGGCAGUCGGGUCGGAAACUUUGUUCCGGGGUCUGGAACACUCUGCUACCUCCUCCCUUUCUCUGAUAUCGAAGUGCCAGAGAAAGGGUGAGCAUGAAACCAAGCAAGAACGACAUUCUUUGUAUGGAUGCUGUGAAGCUUCAAAAACAUCUUGUAGGACAGUCAGUUACCUGGGAAUUAAGGCUGACAAGGAGAGCAGCCCUCUCUCAAAAGAUUUCCCCUACUGCCAAGAGAAAGAGAUUAAUGUUGCAUCCUCCCAUGUGCAUCUCCUCUGGCCACCCCCAUCCCGCCCCCUCGACGACCUUGGCCCCUCUGCAGGCAUAGAUGCAGAGGGCUGGCUGUGUGGCCCUCACUUCCUCCAGGGGCCUUUGUGCCCUGUAAGGUACAUAGCCAACUUCAGUGAGGUAGCACAUCUUGGGUUCAAUUCUUGUGUGGACCCCUGGCCAGCUGUGUAAAUGGUAUCACUUCUUUCCUGGGAUUGUCAAGAAAUCAAGUGGAAAAAAAUCUCAGGAUAUGUCUAUCUGUAGUGAGCCCUCAAUCAAUGUGAAAACAUGGGCUUCCAUUCCUUUUGGUGGGGUCACAUCACCCCAUCUUCCCCAUCUGUACCUUAAGGCUUGAGACUGGGCUGUGGAAGAGCGCUUCAUGGGACUCCCUCCUAGUGCCCUCCUAAGUGCCAUGGGAAGGUAAGGAGAAGGGGUUCCAUAAAUCUCCACAGAGUUGUCUUUGUGCAUCUCCUGAAAGAUCAGAAGACCCAUAGCUUCCUGCUCUCUGGACUUUCCAUCACUAGCAAUUGUCCCACCAGGAGUCUGAAGCAUGGUGGUCAACAAAGCAAAUCAUGCAACCUGGGGCUAUGAGACCACCAGAUAGGAUUGCUGUCCCGCAUCCUAUGUGGUGAGGACCUGGCACCUGCAGCAGCUAUAGGUACAGUCUAUGAUGCAACACUGUCUCUGUGCAUGUGGGUAUCAUGCACACUGAAUACCCACUUUGUCCCCUAUCUGCUUCCUUACCUCUUUGACAGUGCUUUUGAUAUUCAACAACAUCUUAAGCUUCACAUGUUCAAAACAGACCUCUGGAGUUCCCUCUUCACCAAGGCUCUCCCAUUGCUUCCCUGGCUUGGUAAAUGGCACUUUCCUCCUACCCAGUGCCCAGGGAGUCAUGCUUGAUUCUCCUCUUUCCUUCACCUUCCUCAUCCACAAACACCAGGAAUCCCACUUCCCCUUGCCACUUCUGUGGUUAUCAUCCUGGCCAUGUCCAUCAAUGUCUCCCCCCGAACCCCACCCUGAGUGGCCUCCUGACUUGUCUCCUGCUCCCAUUGUGGCCCUUCCACAGUCCUCAUGACCACCAAAGAGGACUUUGAUGUAAAUAAAAAACUCUCUUUUCCUUGUUAGAACCUUCUAAGGGAGUUUUCUAUUUUUCUCCAAAUAAAACCCAAAGUCCUUUUCUACAAGAGUGGCCCCUAACAACCUCUGUGACCUUGAUCUUUGCCUCUCCCCCUAGCUUUCUGAACCUCGACCGCACUGGCCUGCAUUCUAUUCUUCAAACAUGCCCAACUCAUUCCCAUCCUAGGACUUCCUCAUACUGUGCCCUCUGCCUGAAACACUAAUCUUCUCACAGCUGAGAACAGCCCAACUCAAAUGUCUCCAACUGAGAAGGGCUUCCUUAAUUACCCCAGUUCAAGUAGCAUGACCUUCUCCAGGAUGUGUCUCAUUGCUCUGUUUUGUUUUCUUUACAAUUUGUAUUGCUUUUUGGAAUUCUCAUUUAGGUAUGUGUUUACUAUCUGUUAUCUCUCCUACCCCAAUGAAUAUAAAUUGGAUAAUGGCACAGACCUUAUCUCUCUUAUCCCCUGCAGCACUCCCUGAUGGGGAGGCAAAUAAGACACAAGCAAACAAAUACACCUAUACUUGCAAAUUGUGGCAAGUACAUAGCUACCACUUGUAUUUGGAAUAUUUUUAAACUUUUAAGCUUAUAUGUCUGAACUGAACAAUUGUAUUGUCAAAACAAACUCCCUGAGCUAUUUUAAGGAAAAGGCUGGUAACUUGCCUGGGUCAUACUGUGGUGUUCAGGGCAGUAAGUCAAUCUCCUGCCAUAAGAACACAUAUACAAGCUUUAAGGGUGAGUCUGCAGGCAUCUUCUGGGAAGAACCUGAUCCUAAACCUCAUUCCUUUGCUUUUCCAGUGACUAGAAAGCUCCUUAAUUUCUUAGUAACUUAUUUUCUUCAUAUUUAUAGUAAAAGGAUCCUUUUGUAUGUGUGUUGGGGGCGGGGGUGUUAGGUCUUGCUAAGGUGUCCAGGUUGGCCUUGAAUUUGUGAUUCUACUGCCUAGCCUUCCAAAUUGGGAUGGAUUACAGGAGCAUGCCACUGAAGGGGGAGUCCUAUUGUUAUUAUGUUGGACUUGUUUUUUUCUUUAUUUUGGUAUACCCCAAAGAGGCAGCACUUGUAGGUGACUCUCUUACUAUCCUGCCUAAGAGUCAGGAGGGGAACAGGUAUAUCCCCUAGUCACAGCAGCUAGGGGCACAUUGCAGACCCUCCUCAGCACUGAACAACCUGCAGGGUAGAAAUGGGUCCUAGAAGUCGGGUGUGGUGGCACACGCCUGUAAUCACAGCAGCUCCAGAAACUAAGACAGGAGGAUGGCGAAUUCAGAGUCAGCCUCAGCAAUGGCGAGUCGCUAAGCAACUCAGUGAGAUCAUGUCGCUAAAUAAAAUACAAAAUAGGGCUGAGUUCAAUCCCAAGUGUCCCUGAGUUCAAUCCCUGUUCCCACCUCUUUCAAAAAAGAAAUGGGUCCUGGGUCUUCUGCAUCUGAUUUUUUUCUGGUCAUCGAUUGAUUUUCUUUUUUUUAAUUUUUGUUUUUGGGUACCAGGGAUUGAACUCAGGGGCACUCAACCACUGAAUCACAUCCCUAGCCCUAUUUUGUAUUUUAAUAGAGACAGGGUCACACUGAGUUGCUUAGUGCCUUGCUAAAUUGCUGAAGCUGGCUUUGAACUUGUGAUCUUCCUGCCUCUACCUCCUGAGCCCCUGAGAUUAUAGGCAUGUGCCACUGUGCCUGGCCCAUCAAUUCAUUUUAAACCAAUUAUUUGAGAGCCUCUGAGAACUAGGCAAUAUUAACAUAGAAUGUUUUAAGAAAUAAAAGAUUAAAGGGAAUAAAGCAAAAAUUCCAAAACAUGGAGAAAGAAUUAUGAUUUGUCCAACCCUGUUGCCAUGUGCAAUGCCUUUUCUUCCAGUCUUUUUACCUCUCUCUCAGUCCAUUUUCCCUUCCCCGGGCCACAGCCCUAUCUUUUUAGAAGCUGAGCAGCCAUGGCCUUUGCUGAAGAUGAGACCUAUAAGUAUAUCCGCCUCCAUCACAGCAAGUUUUGCUGUGUUAAUGUUCUGGAGAUUCUGCCUUUUCUGCCUUGCCUGACAGCCAGUGACCAGGUGAGCAGGGAAGUGACAAUUGGACAUGGGGCUGGGGGCUGGGCUGUGGAAUUAAGCUCAGCCCCAUGCCAGGUUUUCACCCAAGCCUGGGCCUACUACUUUUUCUUAGUUCCCCUCUGUCUUGCUUCUUGUGUUCUCUGCUUUUUAACUUUUAGAUGAAACGUGGUUCAGGGUGGCUUUUCUAACCUUGCUGAGCUCCCUCUUGUGUUGUUUUAGUGUAGUGCUCAAAAAUAUGGCACUGACUCUGGUCCCUUUGCCCAUUAUUUUUUAGAUCCUCUUUUCUUCCCUGAUGGUUUUUUUGUUUUGUUUUGUUUUGUUUUGGUAUCAGGGAUUGAACCCAGGGAUGCUUAACCAUUGAGCCACACCUACCCCAGCUCUUUUUAUUUUUUAUUUAGAGACAGUGUCUCACUUAGUUGCAGCGAUCCUCCUGCCUCAGCCUCCCAAGCUGCUGGGAUUUCAGGCAUGAGACACUGUGCUUGGCUCAGUUUUGAGAGUUGAGAGGGGCCAGAUCUGUCCUGCCCACCAGGACUUUCUGCAGACCCCUUAAACUAACUAGUUAGUGAAAUGAAUGAAUCCCUUACAAUUUUAGCUGUUCUCAAAUGGUAUCCCUGUGCUCCUAGUAGAUGCCUGUGGGCUCUUUUGGCACCCAAAAGACAUGUCCUCCAGUGUCUCAGGAGCACCAUUGCUUCCUCUGUGUCCUCCUGUGUAAGUACCAUUAGAGCACAGGUCUGGGGUAGUUGAGUUUUUGUCCCAAUUUGUAUUGAUGAGCUUGCGGGCAUAUCUUGUUACCUCGUUUGUAGUAAAUGUUUUCUCUGAGUUUUCAUUUCUUCUAGUUGCUCUUUCUGUUUGUUUGUUUGUUUUUUGUUUUUUCCCUUUGGACCAGGGAUUGAGCCCAGGGACACUUAACCAUUGACCAUAUCCCCAGCCCUUUUUUAAAUGUUUUAUUUUGAGAUAGGGCUUUGCUAAGUUGCUGAGACUGGCCUUGAACUUGCAAUCCUCCUGCCUCAGCUCCCAAGCUGUUAAAAUUACAGGAGUGCACCACCGUGCCCAGCUAGUUGCUUGUUUUUAUAAGGGAAUUUGAAUCAGUGUAAAAAUGCAGCUGGUGUCUUCUUUCCAGAUACCCCCUCCGCAGUGGCUCCUCAGAACCCUCAUUCCCCCAAUUUGAUCCCCUUUCUUCUCUUCUUUGCCUCUUUUCAUCUUAUUGUUGCUACAUACCUUUCCUUCUGCAUCCAUCCAAGCCUUUUUCUUUGCUUUAGGGCCUGUCUAAACCCAAGGCUUUGCCUCAGAUUAACUGGGUUUGGAUUCCUGUCCCACUGCUAUAGGAUUGAUGCUACUUUGCUUCUGCUAAUGCCUCAGUUUCCUCAUCAGUGUAUAGGGAUAAUAAUGGCAUUAAAUAAGAAUUCAUGUAAAACCACAACAGAGACCCUAGGACAUUGUCACAGCCUAUUUCCUGCUAGCUGCCUUUAUUGUUGUUGGUAAUUUCUCUUCUUCACUCCAUACCUGGGCUCCAGUCCUGGUCUUGUUCUGAGCUCUGACUCAAUUUCAGAUGGCUGACUCCUUCUUGUGGCUUUCUUGAUGCCCCCUCUGCAGUGGCUCCUCUGUGGGUGGAGAAAGAAUUGGGGCCACCUGGCUUGAGCAGGGUGGCUGCACUGUGUCUUCUAGGAUCGACUACGGGCCUGCUACUCAAGCCUGGGAAACCAGGACACACUCUGGGAACUCUUCAACCGCCUCCAGCGCCGGACUGGUUGGGUAGAUUUCUUAAUCAAGGCACUGAAGAUCUGUGAGCAGGCUGAGCUUGCUGAGGAAGUGGCUCAUGUUUACCGGAGCAAACUGCUUCCUGGUGAGCCUCCCAUCCUGGCCAUUUCUGGUCACCCUGCCCCCAUCACCCCUGAGCAAUAUACACAUUUGGGUGUAAAUCCUGGCAGAGCCACUUAUUAUCUGUGUCCCUUUGACCAAGUUCCUUAAUUUCCCUGAACCUCAGCCUUCUCCUCUGCAAAAUGGGGCUAAUGGCAAUGUCUAUCACAUCAGGCUGCAAUAAAUAGCAUAGGAUGGUACCUGCUGAGUAUUUAGCUGGGGCUCAGCACCUCCCAUGUGCUCAGUGCGGGGGGGACCUUCUUUCAAUUUUGUGGCUGUGGUGUUUGCCUCCUUAUUUCCUCUUCUGUCUCAUAUUCCCCCAUCCAUUCAUUCACCAACUCUCUCUCCACCUCCCUUAAGCUGCCUGAUUACUCCUUAACUACUCUUAAGUUCCCUGGCCGGCUUGAGUGCCCAGAGGGAAUUCGUGGGAUGGAAUCUGACACAGGAAGAAAAACUGAAUCAGCCCUAUCUAGUUCAGACUAGAGGCUAUCCCAGAGAUCCUCACUCAGAUUUAUAGCUUUGGAACACUCAUCUUCUUCCCCUCUUCCUUCCUUCCUCUCUCCUUUCCCUGGGGAUUGAACCCAAGAACGUUUUACCACUGAGCUACAUUGCCAGCCCUUUUUAUUCUUUUAUUUUGAGACAGGGUUUUGCCAAGUUGCUGAGGGCCUUGCUAAAUUGUAGAGGCUGGCCUCAAACUCGUGAUCCUCCUGCCUCGGCCUCUUGAGUUGUUGGGACUACAGGUGUACAUUACCAUGCCCCUCCUGGCUUCUUUUCUCCCCCCACCUCUUUCUCCCUUCUUUCCUAACUGCUCUCUUCAUUUGUGGAGAUUAGUAGUGAUCCCCCCUGAAUACAAAUGGUUGUGGUAGUAUCUGGGGCAGGAUGUGGCAGGGAUCAAUUAGGUAUAACAGCCCUGAGAGAAAAAAAGUCUGGGGACAUAGGAGGAGUGACCGCUGAUGUAGCCUGGGUGGUCAUGCGGCUCCCUGCCCCACUCAUGUCUUCCUUCUCCCCAACUCUUCUCUGCCUCCCACUCCUGUCCCCAUUCCCAUGAUGCUUGUCACCUCUGGGGUGCCUCCCAUGUCAGGUCAGCUUUUAGAGCUAUGGAGGGAGGAGGCCCCAGAGCACCCAGGCCUUGCCCGUCACAGGGAGAACCCCUGAUUCCUUCUUGGUAUCACUGUAUCUUUGUUCUCCAGGGAACCCAACCUGUUCUCCAGCCCCUCAGGCAGCACCGGCAGCUCCUGGCAAGGUCCCAGGGCCCUCUGCACCUGCUGUGGCUCACGUCCCCUACAAUGGCUACCGAGAAGAGCCAAGUUACCCCAGGCCUGUGCAGGACACACAGCCACCAAAGUCCCCAGGAGAGGUAUGUCCUCAGGGUUCACCCCAGGCUGCCUGUUUUUAUGUUCUUGUCUGCUCACUUCUGUGCCCCCACCUCCAGCCUCUUGGAAGUCUUUGCCUGCCUCCCACAAGUCAUGCCUGAUCUCUGUUAAGGACCCCAGGCUCCUUCAGUGGGGACCUGCUUCAGCCCAGCUCCCAGACUACUGACAAGGUCUGAGGCAGCCCCCAGCACUGUCAUCAAACAGCUUGGGAGGCCACGCUUUACCACGUGGUCAUGCGAGAUGUUGAGCUGGGUGGAAGAACCUGGGAGUGACCAGACUGGGGAGUAGGGUGAGGGAACUGGAGGUCUCGGGUGGCUGGAGGGGCUGUAAUUAUCACAGUAAAGUUAAGUGUAGAGAAAAGAUGACAAAUUAUAUGGAGAUAUGAUAAGUGGGCUGUGGGGUAUCAGGAGACACCAAACUGUGGACCUGAAACCACAGGGUUUGUGUAGAAACCCCUGAAGAAAGUGCUGUGUGCAGUGGAGACCUCCACAUGGCCAGACAGAUGGAUAGGGACCCCCAUAGGACAGUGUGUGUGUGUGUGUGUGUGUGUGUGUGUGUGUUUUAAAGUCCUGAGGACUGAACCCAGGGUCUCGUGCAUGCUAGGCAAGUGCUCUACCACUGAGGUAUACCCCCAGUUCCCUGGGGUGUUUUCUUUGAGCCCAUCAGUGUCCAGUUCCCAGAUGUAAGAUCAUCUGUGGACAGAGGGUCUGGCAAUGACCAGAAAUAAGAAAAGAGCUCCUUUAGAAGUUGUCCUUAGCUGGGCACAAUGGCGAAUGCCUAUAAUACUAGUGACUCAGGAGGCUGAGGCAGGAAGAUUGCAAGUUUGAGGCCAGCCUAAGCAACUUAGCAAGGCCCAGAGCAACUUAGCAAGACCCUGUCUCAAAAUAAAAAACAAAAAGGGCUGGGAUGUAGUUCAGUGGUAAAGCACUCCUGGAUUCAAUCCUUAAUACCCCCAUUACCACCACCAAAAAAAAAAAAAAAAAAGGAGAUGCCCCAGGAACAUCAGCUGUUCUUUGCCAGCUCUUGUCAGCCAUUUCUCUCUCUCUCAGAGUUCAGAGCCAGCCCCACAGAUACCCAGUUCCAGGGGAGUCCUGAGGAGACCUGCUGGCUCCUUGGAGCCCUCCUCUAACCCAACAUCCCUCAGCCUUCCGACUUCCAGCAGGCAUCAGGAGCAGGAUCGAGAACUGGGUGGUACCCACAUAGCAGGUAUGCAUGGGAUAUGAUGUUGGAGGGCCUGUUUGACCUCCCAAGUGAAGGUUAGGAUUAGAGUUGCCCCUUGGGCUUCCUUGAACAGGAGCAAAGUGGGAAUAAAGUGCAUUUACCCCAGGUACCAAACCAGUUCCUCAGUGAGUGUAUCAGUUAGUAUUUGCUGUGUAACAAACAGUCUAAAAAACAUUAUUAUAAGUAGAUUAAAAUACAAGCGUUUAUUUAGCACACAGCUGACCCAGCUAAACAGUUCUUCUGGUCUUGGCUGAAUUUCCUCUCCUGAACUCACUGAUACAUAUACUUAUUCUGCUUCUGACUUAUUGGAUGGGGCACCUUUAUUCCCUUCCAUGGGGUUUCAUAUCCUCUAGCACACAGGCCUUUCCCAUGGCAACUGGACAGAGACCUCUAAGUGAAGAAGAAAGGACUCUUGAGGCAUAGACUCCAAACUGGCACAGUGUCCUUCCUUCUUCACUCUGUGGGCCUAAGCAAGUUAUAAAGGACAGCCCAGAUUCAUGAGAAAUUGACUCCAUUCUUAGAUGGGAGGCCUAUAGAUUAGCCAGGACCUGGAGGAUGGGGAAAGACAGUACAAAGCUGGUCUGGCUAUUGGCAGAGGAGCCCUUCAGUACUGCCCUACUACCAAGGGGUGUCCAGUUCCCAGAAAGUCACUAAAAUAUCUCAACCCCCAGAGGAAGCAUGUCUAUCAUCAGCCAGGUGCCUGGACACUACACCAGAUCUCAGUACUCCCCCUCAAGGCUGUGUAGCUGACCACCCUGACCUGGCGUGUCUUUCUACUACUUCCCAAACUGUAUUCCAUAUGACACUUGUGCCUGGCCUGCCCUCAGUACCCUGGAACAGCCACAAGGCACAGGGAUAUUUAAAAGUUAGGAGAAACCAUCUUGUGCCCUCCACUCUUGUCACCCCCAAAUAGUCCUGAGCACCUGUUUGCACUUUACAGUGUUAUUUUGUCAUGGAAUGCCUUUUAGGAGGUGCUUCUAUGAACCAUGAAGGCAAAGGCACCUGAUUUCAGUGCAUUGAUGGACACAGGUUCCACGAGAGUCUGUGGUACUGCAUUUAGGGGAGGGGACAUGAGACAUCACUUCUUUUUUAGAAUUUGGGGGGUUUUAGAUAUACAUGACAGUAAAGUGUAUUUUGACAUAUUAUACAUGCAUGGAGCGUAACUUAUUCUAAUUGGGAUCCCCAUUCUUUUUUUUUUUCUUCCUAUACUGGGAAUUGAACUCAGAGGCACUCAACCCCUAAGCCACAUCCCCAGACCUAUUCUGUAUUUUAUUUAGAGACAGGGUCUCACUGAGUUGCUUAGCACCUUGUCAUUGCUGAGGCUGGCUUUGAACUCGUGAUCCUCCUGUUUCAGUUUCCUGAGCUGCUGGGAUUACAAGCAUGUGCCACCACGCCCAGCUUGGGAUCCCAUUCUUGUGGUUGUACAUGAUGUGGAGUUUCAGGCAUCACUUCUGACCUUUGUCAACCUUGGGGUCUGGUGUGUGCAUCCUUAGAGUUCCUGAUGACACUGCCUCUAUGGGCUGUCACCCUGUGUCAGGUCCUCUUCCUAGGGUGGCUUUGCCUUACUCCUGGGAACUGGCCAGCCUCUGGUACCACUUGACUGGUGUGAGCAGUUCUGCUUGAGCCACCCUGCUGUCCCUUGCCCUGAUCCAGUGUUGCUCCUGCUGGGGAGUGUGGGGGACAGCAGUGAGGGGAACAUCUAGGAUUCCACUAGCUAGAGAGAGAAAAAAAGCAGAAACAGGACAGGGAGGUGUUCUGGGUGGGAGAAACAGAAGCAGAAAGAAUAGCCAAUAAUGAUCUUUAAGCUCCUGGAUGCAGUUAGUGGGAAGGAUGACAUCGGUCUUGUGAUAGGACAGACUUGGGGAUAUAGGUCAAGGACUGCAGGCAACAGUUGAGUCUCAGGUCUGAGAGCGAUGACCAAAGGGACUAUAGUCUUCUCCAUGCACAGGUGAUUGGGAGGCAUGUUGCAAUAGGGCUAAUGUGAUUUGAGACACAGGGACCUUUCCCAACCCCUGAGGGUGACAGUCCUUUGGGUUUAUGCUUCUACUUUUGCUACCUGCAGGUGCAGUUUGCAGCUCCAUAUCAGCCCGUGGGCCUGUGUCCCCGACUGUCUCCUUCCAGCCCCUGGCCCGUUCCACCCCCAGGAAAAGCCACUUGCCUGGACCUGCAGUGUCAGCUCCUGCAUCUGCUGGUCCCUCCUCCAUUGCCUUGGCUUCUGUAGAGGAGAUUGGUGACCAUAAUAAGACUGCCAUCUGCUCUAGUGAUGCAGAGGUACCUGCUGAUUCAACAACUACCAGCUUACUGCCCUCCAAAGCGCCUGCCAACUCGGCCCUUGUCGGCUUGGGGCCCUCCAAGUUGCCUACCAGCACAAAGCCCCCUGGUGCAAUGCCCCCUAAAGUGCCCUCCAACCCAGCACCAUCCAAGUUGCCCAUCAACUCAACACGUGCUAGCGCCAUGCCAUCCAAAGUGCCUACUGCUACCAUGAUUCCCACCAAGGUGCCUACCAACACAAUGCCCUCCAACGGGAGCAAAGCCAAGGUGAGUCCUGGCCCCUCUUAGCAGUGCCUCAGGCCCCUUCCCUUUGGGCCCUGUCCUUGGACCCUUCCCAGUCUCCAUCCUGUCUCUAGCCUGGGCAAGUCCAUGACCUCUCCUUAAAGCUGUGGGGACAAGCUGGCAACCUGCCUCAUCCUCUAGGAGGAAUGACUGUCACGAAAACCCCUAAGUAUCAUUGCCUCAAGAGAGUCAGGCAUGGGGCCACCCUACUGGUCAUGUGCUUUAACUCACUGGGACUCAGCCUCCAGUUAAGCUUAGCAACACUGAUCUGUUGAUGAGGAAGCAGUGAGGGGUGGAGCAUGGUGGCCCACUUGCCUUCAUGCCUUGCCGUUUACCACCAGUAUGUCUGGCCUGCCUGUGACCAGGCUUUCCAAACAGCAAUUUCUGGCCAGCCAGCCUGGAGCAGCUGCUCUGACCCAUUAGCCCCCAUAGCUGCCCUCUCCAAAGCCUCGCAUCUAACCCUACUGCUGUUGUCUGCCUCGAGGAAGCAAGUUCCUGAGGCUCCAGGACACUGUAGCUGCCCUGUGAUCCUAAGGCCUCAGCAGUAGGGGCUUGCUGUCAAGGGCUUCCCUGGCAGACCAGUGAGUGGGGAGAGGGCUGCAAUGAGGCCAUCAAUGAAAUGAUACUACAAAGCCUUGGUGCCUUCUUCCCCUUCUGUCCUCUUCCCCACCAAUGGUCGGGUCUCCAAGCGAUGGUGUCUUGCAAGCCAGGAUAUAGGAUGGGAACUGAGAAGUUUGGGCUUGGGCUACUAGUUCAUGCCCUGACUCGAGAACAGGGCCACCCACUUUGUCUGGCUUAUCUCCCUCCCAUACCCAUCCCCUUCCAGCACUUUCCUUUCUUUCCCAGGAGACCCCAGGGACUCCAGCAACCACAGUCACCAUUGAAGGCAGCUCUCCUUGGAGGGGUAGCAGCUCUGGGAACUUGCGCUCUGAGGCCGAGCUGAGCAAGCCUGGUACCCUGGUAUCGAGGGUCGAUAGCCAGCCAUUUUCCGGCUGUUCUGAAGAUCUCGCUAUCAGCAAUUCUCUGGUCCUGGAGUCCAGCCAAGGCCCAGAGGAAAAUGAGUACAUGUCCUUUGCUAUCCAUGUGGCUGAGGGUCCCAGUGCUGACCUCCUGGAUGGCAGCCCUGAACGACCUGAGGCCUCAGAGCCCCAGGAGGAGGAAGAGGAGGAGAUGUGCUCAACAGCACCAGGGGCUCUGUGGUGGCUGGGGACUGCCGCAGCCAGCGCGCUCCUGGCGGUGCUCCUGGUAGUGCUGUACCGGCGGCGCCCACUGCAGUGAAACCUCCAAUGCCCACCACGUUCCCAUGGUGCCCUUUCCCCAGGCUGGCAGGGGCCGGGUCAAGCAGGGGACCUCGAGAACUAUGGGCCUGAUGGAGGAGUGAGUUGUGAGGACAGCGUUUUCUGUCCUAGCUCUUGUCCUCUGCUUGUCCCUCACCAUCCUUGGCUUUCCAGGCUCUAAGCGGCCCCCAGUGCUUCAGACCUUGCCUACCUGGUAGUCUCCCUGUGUGCUCCUAAGGAGGUCCCCUCCACCAGGCUUUGUCCCCCUUUGCCCAAGCCUGAAGAUCAGGAGAUGCCCCUCAUUCUGCCCAGGUCCCCUGAGGCCAAAACAGGUGUUCUGGGUGGGGAAUUCCCACAAGACCUUGUUCCCCGCCCAGCAGCUCAGCAUCCUGACAGCAGCAAGGUGCCUAGUAUUCAGGGAGCCAGCUGCUUUGGGUUCCCUGUCUCUCUAGUCCCCCUCUAUUGGCCAGGCCACCCUGGAAGAAGGUCCAGUUCCAGUGGACCCAGGGAAGCCAGAAGCAGCCACUAGACAGGAGGAAGACCCUUGGAGCCUUUCUCCAGUCCCCUUACCUCCACCUCUGUCCUCCAUUCUCUUUGGCUUCCUACAUGGGUUGGGGAAGGGACCUGCCUAGUGGUCAGAAUUCAAGCCAGGUUCAGAUUUCAGCUCUUCCCUUUCUGGGCUGUGUGACUUUGGCAGAUGUUCAGGCUCUCUGGUCUGGUUUCCCCACGUGGACAGUGAGCUUCUAGCUCAUCCUUCAUGGACAUGGCAUACAGGAUACGGCAUCCCUCCUGUCUAACCUGGUAGAGCUGAGGGCUUGAGAGGCAGAGUGCACAGCAACAAGGGUGCGCUGUGCAGUGAGGGCAGGCUCGGGCUGUAUCCUGCUCAUCAUCUCACUAGCUCUUUAAUCCCAGGCAAGAUAUUAACCUCUGUGUGCCUCACUUUUCUCACCUGUUAAAUGGGAGUGAAAUGUCUACACACACACACACAUACACAUAUGUAUGUACGUGUGUGUAUAUUCUAGUGUUGUCCUGGGGAUUAAAUUAGUUUAUCUAUGUAAAUCUUAGACUGAAUCCUGUCAUUUCCUAAGGACUGGAUACAUGUUAUUAUUGCUAAUUAAAUGGGCAGUGAGUAGAGCACUUGGCUAUACCUUUAGAGGUAAACCCAGACCCUGCUACCUUCUCCUUUCUUAUAUCUUCCUCUUAACUUCAUCUAGUACAUUUGCGAGUUGUUGGGGAGGGAGGUCUAUCCAGUGGGCAGCUGUUCUCCCCAUCUCCAGCAGCCAGGGGUGUUCCACCACCUCCCUGGGUGGGAAGAUAGCUAUUCUCUUCACACAUUGAGGUGCACUGGUGGGUAUCCUCUUGGGUUCUUUUCAGGUGGCCUUUGCUGGACAAGUGGUAGGCACAGGAGCCUUCUCUAUUUCUGGGCUCUUCAAGGGGCAAGAACUAGAGCCCUUGGAGAAAUCAGGGGUGUGGCUUGUUAUGUAAAGCUCGAGGCAGCUUUACCCUACACCGCCCUAGGGAACUUCCGCAACCUAAUGACCUCUACUUCUGAAUUUCAGCCCCCACUCUAAACCCAACAGCCUCUAACUUGAAUCCAGGUGUGGUCUGUCCCCAAGCUAUCUAUACCAGUACUUAUCAAUCCCUUGCUCUUAACCAACCACUGUAUCCCCCACCUGUAUCCCCAGGUGCCAGCCAGUCAGUUUGUGCACAGUCCUAGUUUUAAUGUGCUAGCCUCCCAGGGUACUUUGGGGAAAAAAAAACAAAAAAAACUCACUGGGUGGAGUGGCCCAUGCCUGUAAUCCCAGCAGUUCAGGAGGACCAAAUGUUCAAGGCCAGCCUCAGCAAUUUAGGGAGAACCUAAAUAACUUAGCAAGGCCCCAUCUUUUUAAAGAAUUAAAAAGGGCAUAAAAGGAGACAUAAAACUGGAAUGUAGUUCAGUAGUGAAGCACCUCUGGAUUCAAUCUCCAGCACCCCCUGAAAAGAAAAAAAAAAAAAAUUGGCUCAAGAAGGCAACACGUAGUCCCAGAGAAUCACUCACUCAACUGGGGGAUUUCUUUUUGUUGGUGGUGGUGCCAGGGAUUGAACUCAGGGGUGCUUAACCACUGAGCCACAUCCUCAGCUCUUUUUAUUUUUUUAUUUUGAGACAGGGUCUCCCUAAAUUGCUUAGGGCCUGUUAAGUUGCUGAGGCUGGCUUUGAACUUAAUAUCCACCUGCUUUGGCCUCCUGAGCCACUGGGAUUAUAAGUGCACCACUGUGCCCAGUCAACUGGUACAAUUUCAACUACAGAAACCAGUCACUGUAGGCGAUAUAUUGGAUCAGGUGUGUGGGAAGUGUUCAGGGCCUUCCCAGCACAUUUCAGACUAUACCGCCUCAAAUCCCUGACUUGGCCUGCACUUAACACUAUCCCCAUCUCAGCUAUUAUCAAUCUGAAGACUUAAAUGCCACCUUCAGGCAGAAAUGGGAAUUAGAGUCCAGUCUCAAGAAUCCUGUUCUGGGUUGUGACUUUCAGCUGCAGGAAGGUUUACAAAGGAGUGUGAACUAGGAAGUUCACCUUCACAGCUGUGGCCCAGACAAGGUAGAGGCUGGAACACAAGGAAGGGAGGAAGGACCUCCACUCGCAGACGGGACUAGGGGACCCUUGAGGUCAAGGCUGGGUAGUCCUGGAGGGACCAAUGCCCUCCUAAGUGCCCGGGGGCAGACCCACCUGCAGCAGAACCUCUGUCCACGUUCUUUCCCUGGCUGAAGCAUUUCCUCAAAGCUCUGGGACUGUUGUGGUUUCUGUCUCUCAGGGAAGUACCCAUGGACUUUAACCUAACAAAGCCAGAACAGUGCCACUCCUUCACUUCUCUUGCUGGCUACCCUCAGGUUUAGGGAGCUUCUUAGUCAAGGAUGAGGGAGAUGCCCUUUACCCUGCCAGGUCUCAGAUUAUUAAUACCGUCUUUUAGAAAACAUUUAUUAUGGCCAGCUUUCAGACAAAUGCAAAAGUAGAGAGACCAGAAUAACACACUGCCCAUCUCCUGGCUUUAAUAUCUUGGCCAUCUUAUUCAUCCCUGCCUGUUGCCCCCUUCCUUCCUCUUUUCUUUGGUAUGGGGGGGGCAUUGAUUUCAGGGGCACUUUACCACUGAGCUACAUCCCUAGACCUUUUUAUUUUUUAUUUCAGGGUCUCACUGAGUUGCUCAGGCUGGCUUUGAAUUUGCCAUCCUCCUGUCUGCUCCUUCCAAAUUGCUGCAAUUACAUCUAUGCACCAAUGCACCCGGCUGCCCCCUUUUUUGAGUACAGGUUCUUUGUAUAAGAGUGUGAAGGGUUCAGAAAGCCAAGGGAAAGACAUAAGCUGGAAGGAUUUUAAGAUCAUCUAUUUUCUCCCAGGGCAGCAUUAGGUAACAAUGAAGCAUCCACGUUGUGGUCUGUUGGCCUCUAUAGGUGACGUCCUUCUUGAACCAGUUCAAAGCAUGAGCAGCACUGGACUCCAUCUUAGGAGGAGGGGACUGCAAGCGUCCUUCCAUUGUCAAGCUCCUUGGAGGUGCCUGCUAUUGCUCCUGUCUCAGAGAAGUGACAACACAUGAGACAUAUACCACAUGGCACAGCCCUUCCAACCAGCAGAAGUCCUCAUGCUAGGCAAUGUUCAAAUUCCACAGUCCUAGGAAUGGAGUCCUUGGGCCUUGAGGUUCCACACUUGCCAUGGGUGCACUGUCAUGCGCCUAAAGGCCAAGACCCACUUCCCCCUGGGAAGGGAGAUGAGGGGUCUUUGGUCUGAAAUGUCUGUGCUGGGAUUGAUACCGCUCCACAGAGGAUAGUCACAUGCUCCUUGCUUUCUUAGUUUUUUUUUCCUUUAUCCCAGGGCUAAGAGGUCCACAGGGGGUUCUGGGUGUGGUCACUGUGAACAUUCUUCACUUGGCUGCUGCUAACAACAAAUAAUAAUAAAGGUCGCCACUAAUGUCUGAUUUUAAUUGCGUGCUAGACACUGUGCCAAGAGCUACACAUAUAUUAGUUCAUUUAAUCCUCACAAUGACCCUAGGAAAGAGACACCAUUAUGGAUCCAAUUUAUAGCUGGUUUACAAGACUGGGAGGGAAGAAAGACAAGAGGGACAAUGACUCCUAGGCCCCAGAGCUAGAUGCUUCUUACGUCUAUGAACUUCAACUCACCUGAUAUCUGGAACAAAGUAAACCAUUUAAAGUGAGAUCAUCACACCAUCACAUCACUGCCCAGUAUGCCAAAAUCUGCCACCUACUAUAAUAGUAUAGUAACACUAGGUCUAUAAUUAAAAUAAUCUCAGGGGUGUCCUAAUGAUACGAUUAUAAUCAUUUUGUGUGUGCCCAGGCUCAAAGCCCUGGGGCUGGGUGAGGUGAGGCUGGUGCCAUAAGAAAACUAGAAUGUUAGUCUUCAUGAAGCCAGUUCGAUUUAGCAGACAUCGUUUAAGAGUCAUUUGUGCCAGGUCCAAGGCCUCUGAGGGUGCCUUCGAGUGGUUGGGGGUGUUCAUAAUGUGUGAUACAGGCAAAAAGGCUUCCAUAUCAUUCUUUCAUAUAAUUUUACAGCAAAUAUUUAUUUUGUACCCACUGUGAGCUAAACAUUAUAAUAGGUCUUGAUGACAUAGAUAAUAAAGACCUCUCCCUAAAAGUCCUCUCCCACCCCCCACUGUCUCUAACCCAGUAGUAGUUCAAUGGAGUGUCUCUGGAGCAUGGCAGGGGCCAGUGAGGGGGAAGGACAAGUAUUGUUUUGAUCUGUUUUUGACUACUGAGAAUUAUAACUAAAUUUGGAGCGGGGCGAGAAACAGUAUGAGAGAUAACAUUAAAUAUUCAUGAAAAUGUGAAUAUGUUGGAGGAAUGUAGGUUGGUGUUAUGGCCUGAACAUAUAUGUCCCUGCAAAAUUCAUAAGUUGGAACCUAACCCCAAGGUGAUGGUAUUAGGAGGUGAGUCCUUUGGGAAGUGAUUAGGUCAUGAGGGCUCCACCUUCAGGAAUGGGAUUCAUGCCCCUAAGAGGACAGAGGGAGCUGGUAUGGUGGUGAACACAUGUAAUCCCAGCAACUUGGGAGGUUGAGGCAGGAGGAUCACAAAUUCGAGGCCAGCUUCAUCAACUUGGUGAGACCCCAUUUCAAAAUACAAAGUGCUAGGGAUAUUGCUCAGGGUAGAGCACUCCUGGGUUCGAUAACCAGUACUGGAAAAAGAGAGGGUGAAAGGCUUGAAAGCCCUCUGUUCCUUCCACCAUGUGAGGACAGAGAAGUCCAUAUGAGAAAGCAGCAACCAUAUCUUUGAAGCUGAGACUGGACCUUUAUUAGACACUGAAUUUGUUGGUGCCUUGAUCUUGUACUUCCAAAUCUCUAAAAUGGAAAUUUCAAUGAUUUCUAAAUUACCUAAUAAAAGGCAUCUUGUAAUAGCAGCUUGCAUGAACUAAGCCAGUUGGUGAUACCUUACUGGAAAACUGGCAGUUGUCUACUAGAGCCUAAUAUAGGCCUAAACCUGUGACCCAGCAAUUCCACUCCUGGGUGUGUUCACAACAGAAACAAGAGUGCAUGUCCACAAAGAUGUGUGCAAGAAUGCUUCUCAGAUGCUCAGGUCCCUUGUGCAGUAUUUGCACAUCUCUGCACAUUCUCCCAUAUAGUUCAAAACAUCUUGAAAUUGCUGAGCAAAUGACACUCGCCUGUAAUGCCAGUGACUUGGGAGGCUGAUGCAAGAGAAUGGCAAGUUCAAGGCCAGUCUCAGCAAUUUAGUGAUGUCCUAAGCAACUCAUCUCAAAAAAUAAAAAGGGCUGGGGAUGUAGCUCAGUGGCAAAGAGCCUCUGGAUUCAAUCCCUAGACUCCCCCCCCCACCAAAAACAAACAAACAAACAAAAACUUCUAACCAUCACACUGAUCACACUGUCCAUAAUAUCUCCAAAAUAAGAAAAACCCAAAUUGUCUAUCCUCAGGAAAAUGGAUGUUGUAAUAAAGUCACACAGUAGAAUACUAUUAUAUAAAUGAAGACAUUGCAACAUAGAACAUGGAUGAAUCUCCUGGACCUGAUGCUGAGCCAGAGUUAGUGUACACCAAAAAGCAAAUUUUAUUUAUCUUAAAUAAACAAAGCUGAUUUAUGAUGUUAAAAGUCAGGAGAAAGAUGAACUCUGGUAGGGAUGUAGCUGGGAAGAAACAUUCUGGGGUGUUGGUCUACCUCCUGAUCCAUGUGUUGAUUUCAUGAGUAUUUUUAGUUUGUGUCCAGUACCCUGUGGGAGAUGUGAAAGUUGGGGAUGGGGAUAUGGCUCGAGCGGUAACACACUCGCCUGGCAUGCGCCGGGUGCUUGGUUUGAUCCUCAGCACCACAUAAAAAUAAAAUAAAGAUGUUGUGUCCACUGAAAACUGAAAAAUAAAUAUUAAAAAUAAUUCUCUCUCUCUCUCCUCUCUCUUAAAAAAAUAAAGAAAAUAAACAAAGAUCCUCCAAAUGAGGACUAAAAGCCAUUUAAUCAGAGCUUGAGAGGCAGUCAGCCAUCAUAAUUUGCAUGUGACAGGGACUCUAAGGCAGGCAGGGAUGCGAAACUCCAUAGUAGGAAAAAGGGAAGGUUCAGGUGUGCCGUGAUUGGAUGAUGUUGGUCUUGAGCUGUAAGAGGUGGAGAGGUGGUUGGAGGUUGGGAAGGAACGGUGAUCAUUAGCUAAAUUCUCCACCCCACCCCCAUACUGGGCAUUGAACCCAGGGGCACUUCAUACUGAGCUAUAUCCACAUUCUUUUUAUUUUUUUUUAUGUUGACGCAGGGUCUAAGUUGCUGAGGCUGGUUUUAAAUUUGCUUGCGAUCCUUUUGCCUCAGCUCUCGAAUUGCUUGGAUUACAAGUGUGUGCCACUGUGCCCAGCUCACUGGCCAAGUUUUGACUGUUCUGAGCUCAUUGCUGCACAGAUGGAAGUUUGGCUUCUGGGGCUUCCCAGGCUGCUUGCUACAAGAGUUUUAUUCACAUCCAAAUUCCUUUAUCAUAUAUAGUCAGUCAUUUUCUAUUUGCAUAUUCAGUCUCUCAGAGGGAAGGGCACGGGCUUUGAGGGAGCUGCCAUGCAGCACUGAUGGGAGGCACAUUCGCACUUCCUCCAGCUUCCCAUCCAUGUCUGGGGUCAGAGGUGCCUGCCUGUGUGAGGGAGUCCAUGGCCGGGGGGCUCUGCUCCCAGCUGUGGUGCAGCUGCUACACCAACCAAGGUUCUCUUUUUUUCUUCAAGGCUGGCUUUUUAAAGCUCAACCCCUACAGAAAGGUUUCUUUGAUUAGAUCCCUCUGGUUUUAAUAAGUGGGCUUCUUAAAUUCCCAUGGCUCACCUCAAACCCUGCUUUUAUGUGUAAAUUCUGACCUCCUUGCCUACAUUUUAAAAAACAUAAACCAGGCACCCUGGUGAUGCAGGCCUGUAAUCUCAGUGACUCUGAGGAGGACUGCGCAGGCUCAAGGCCAGGCUCAGCAAUUUAGCUAGAUUGUGUCUCAAAAUAAAAAGGGGCUGGGGAUGUGGGGAUAUAGAUCAGUGGUAGAGCACUCUUGGGUUCAAUCAUCAAUAUUGCAAAACAACAACAACAAAAUCCUAUACUGAUUACUUUUAAUUACUUUCUCAGUGAGUUUCUUCUUCCCCCGCCACUCAGCUACAUACCAGCCCUCACUUUUUUUUUUACUUUUUUAUUUUUGAGACAGGGUCUUACUAAGUUAUUUAGGGCCUUGCUAGGUUGCUGAGAUUGGCCUUGAACUUGUGAUCCUCCUGCCUCAGCCUUCCAAAUCACUGGGAUUACAGGCCUGGGCAACUGCACUGGGUUGAUUUAUCUCUUUCUUUCUCUCUCACUCUCUCUUUCUUUCCUCCCUCCCCUUUUUCUUUCCUUCUUUCCUUCUUCUCUUUUUGUGAUGUCAGGGAUUGAACAUAAGGUUUGUGCGUGUUAGGCAAAUGCUCUUCCCAGUGAUGGUUUGUGUGUGGUAUGUAACUGGGGAGAGAACCCUGGGGUGUUCUACCAUGUCCUGUGAAGGACAUGAAGAAUAAAUUCCAGGGUGUUAGAUAUGAAAAAUGACAACCCCCAUAAUACUGUGGCCUGGGAAGAGGGCAUGAGGAAGAAGGCAACACAUUGAUAACAUUGAUCCUUUCCCAAUACAUUCUUUCCCAGUGACAAGACAAGCCCUGGGGAGGAGAUAUCCAUCAAGCCUAGAAUGAUGGUCUCUAAUAAAUCCUUUCUAGAUACUGACUGUUGACCCCCGACCCUCCAUCUUGCCCAGUAAAAACAGAUCUCAAAUUCCUGGGUGCCCAAAUUGACACGCUAACUAAUCAAGUCACUUCUCAGUAUAACCUAUAACAGACUCCCCCUUUGGCUAGUGGCUCAUUUUCCGUUAGGAAAGUGGGUCUAUCAUAGGCACGACUUUAUUGCUGAAUAAAGGCUGUGCUGAUCCAUGAAGUUUGCACCCGGCUCGUUCCUUUUGGAGCUAACAUUUUGGUUCCCUGAUCAGGAAAUGGGAGAAAGGGUAAUAUUUUGUUCUUCCCUGUACCCCCAAAACCCAUUCCCUCCCCCCACAGUCAAAGUUAACCAACUAAUGAGGCCCUGAAAGUGACCACUGAACAUCUGGCACUUCCAUGGCUUUCUGAAAGUCAGGGGGACCUCCAAGCUGUGGCUCAUAGGAGCUACAGCUGAAUGCCCAAACUGACUGUGUCCCCCCAACUCUGUAGAACAUAGGCCCUUCACGCCCUUUGCAGUCCACUUUAGCUAAGCAACUGCCAGCUUUUUUGCGGGAGAAAUUUGGUGCUUGGGACAGAGGAGGGCUUAAGGCAGCUGGCCGGGGCCACUCUCUGGUGCUGCACAAAGGUCUUAUGUCUCAAAUCUGGUCCCGACAGCCCUCAGGGGUACCAAAUAUCGACCACCUGCUAGAUUUUUGUGGCUUUAUGCCACAAGAACAAUGCAAGAUUUGUAUCAAGUCCUUUAUUGGCAUUGAAGGUGUCCUGUUUCUACUUCCUCCCCUCCCCAAUCUUCCCUUCCCUUACACACCCAGCAAACCUCAGGGAUCUGAGAUCUCUUUGCCAUUUUGUUCCUGCAUCCAACACCAGCUUUUAAAUUCUCCAGAGAGGUAAGACUCAGUCCAGCUGGUCUCCAGCAGAUAGGUACCCGCCCUUUAGCUAGCUAGGACCCAGGGGGUCCCCUACCAGUGAGAUUGGUGUAAAGAUGUUUCCCUAGUCCCCAGUGGGAGAAGUCCACUCUGAUGACUGGCACACCUCUGACAUAAGAGUUCAGAGGACGCUUUGCUUUCAGUCGUCACUUCUGUCCAGCCUCUCCAAAUAUGGAAGUCAUUCGGUCAGUUCCCAGAGACAACCUCUUGGGCUGUCUCUUUAUCAAUGUUAUGACCCUCUACUCCCAAACUGACCUCAAAAUUGAACACCUCAUUAGACUCAGCACUCAGAUUUGGCCACAGUACAAAUUAGAUAAUCAGUGCCCAUGGCCCAAGUACAAAACUCUUUUUUUUUUUUUUAAUAUUUAUUUAUUUAUUUUUCGGUGGACACAACAUCUUUGUUUGUAUGUGGUGCUCAGGAUCGAACCUGGGCCGCACGCAUGCCAGGCGAGCGCGCUACCACUUGAGCCACAUCUCCAGCCCCAAGUACAAAACUCUUGAUAAAGAAAUUCUCCAGGCUUUGCAAAAAUAUUUAAUACAGAUUGGCAGGUGGUUUGAGGUUCCAUACCUUCAACCUUUCUUUUUCCUUCACUCAAUUACCAAAUAUACCACCCUAGACUUUCAUACUGCUGCUGAUACUCUCUUUCUCCCUAUGCAAUUUAUCAGCGGGUCUGCAUCUGAUACCCAUAAAAAAACAGAGAAGGGCGCCAAGGCUUCCCAGAAUCAAUUUCUAGAUCCUGCUUUUAAGACCUUUAACAAUAGGGAAGAUGAGGCCAAACAGGAGAAAGAAAAACAUCUUAAAACUAAAUAUCAGCUCCUAGCCUCAGCCAUCCAUCGCCCUAAAAAAAGCCAUUGCUACUCACGGCCCCUCCAGACCCUCUAAUAUACCUUUGGGCCCCAUUUCUGAUGUGGAUGGACUGGACCUUGGACAAAAACCCAAGGCUGCUCACCAAGCCANUCUGAAACGUCUGUGCUGGGAUUGAUACCGCUCCACAGAGGAUAGUCACAUGCUCCUUGCUUUCUUAGUUUUUUUUCCUUUAUCCCAGGGCUAAGAGGUCCACAGGGGGUUCUGGGUGUGGUCACUGUGAACAUUCUUCACUUGGCUGCUGCUAACAACAAAUAAUAAUAAAGGUCGCCACUAAUGUCUGAUUUUAAUUGCGUGCUAGACACUGUGCCAAGAGCUACACAUAUAUUAGUUCAUUUAAUCCUCACAAUGACCCUAGGAAAGAGACACCAUUAUGGAUCCAAUUUAUAGCUGGUUUACAAGACUGGGAGGGAAGAAAGACAAGAGGGACAAUGACUCCUAGGCCCCAGAGCUAGAUGCUUCUUACGUCUAUGAACUUCAACUCACCUGAUAUCUGGAACAAAGUAAACCAUUUAAAGUGAGAUCAUCACACCAUCACAUCACUGCCCAGUAUGCCAAAAUCUGCCACCUACUAUAAUAGUAUAGUAACACUAGGUCUAUAAUUAAAAUAAUCUCAGGGGUGUCCUAAUGAUACGAUUAUAAUCAUUUUGUGUGUGCCCAGGCUCAAAGCCCUGGGGCUGGGUGAGGUGAGGCUGGUGCCAUAAGAAAACUAGAAUGUUAGUCUUCAUGAAGCCAGUUCGAUUUAGCAGACAUCGUUUAAGAGUCAUUUGUGCCAGGUCCAAGGCCUCUGAGGGUGCCUUCGAGUGGUUGGGGGUGUUCAUAAUGUGUGAUACAGGCAAAAAGGCUUCCAUAUCAUUCUUUCAUAUAAUUUUACAGCAAAUAUUUAUUUUGUACCCACUGUGAGCUAAACAUUAUAAUAGGUCUUGAUGACAUAGAUAAUAAAGACCUCUCCCUAAAAGUCCUCUCCCACCCCCCACUGUCUCUAACCCAGUAGUAGUUCAAUGGAGUGUCUCUGGAGCAUGGCAGGGGCCAGUGAGGGGGAAGGACAAGUAUUGUUUUGAUCUGUUUUUGACUACUGAGAAUUAUAACUAAAUUUGGAGCGGGGCGAGAAACAGUAUGAGAGAUAACAUUAAAUAUUCAUGAAAAUGUGAAUAUGUUGGAGGAAUGUAGGUUGGUGUUAUGGCCUGAACAUAUAUGUCCCUGCAAAAUUCAUAAGUUGGAGGAGAGUCCUUUGGGAAGUGAUUAGGUCAUGAGGGCUCCACCUUCAGGAAUGGGAUUCAUGCCCCUAAGAGGACAGAGGGAGCUGGUAUGGUGGUGAACACAUGUAAUCCCAGCAACUUGGGAGGUUGAGGCAGGAGGAUCACAAAUUCGAGGCCAGCUUCAUCAACUUGGUGAGACCCCAUUUCAAAAUACAAAGUGCUAGGGAUAUUGCUCAGGGUAGAGCACUCCUGGGUUUGAUAACCAGUACUGGAAAAAGAGAGGGUGAAAGGCUUGAAAGCCCUCUGUUCCUUCCACCAUGUGAGGACAGAGAAGUCCAUAUGAGAAAGCAGCAACCAUAUCUUUGAAGCUGAGACUGGACCUUUAUUAGACACUGAAUUUGUUGGUGCCUUGAUCUUGUACUUCCAAAUCUCUAAAAUGGAAAUUUCAAUGAUUUCUAAAUUACCUAAUAAAAGGCAUCUUGUAAUAGCAGCUUGCAUGAACUAAGCCAGUUGGUGAUACCUUACUGGAAAACUGGCAGUUGUCUACUAGAGCCUAAUAUAGGCCUAAACCUGUGACCCAGCAAUUCCACUCCUGGGUGUGUUCACAACAGAAACAAGAGUGCAUGUCCACAAAGAUGUGUGCAAGAAUGCUUCUCAGAUGCUCAGGUCCCUUGUGCAGUAUUUGCACAUCUCUGCACAUUCUCCCAUAUAGUUCAAAACAUCUUGAAAUUGCUGAGCAAAUGACACUCGCCUGUAAUGCCAGUGACUUGGGAGGCUGAUGCAAGAGAAUGGCAAGUUCAAGGCCAGUCUCAGCAAUUUAGUGAUGUCCUAAGCAACUCAU
RNAcentral lists this long non-coding RNA (24258 nucleotides) under Marmota monax (woodchuck). The record is from RNAcentral. Lineage: Eukaryota; Metazoa; Chordata; Mammalia; Rodentia; Sciuridae.